This 253-nucleotide ribosomal RNA is filed under the name uncultured bacterium. Its description in RNAcentral is "partial 16S ribosomal RNA". It matches the Rfam family "Bacterial small subunit ribosomal RNA", at positions 524 to 776 of the family's 1533-position model. The record is from RNAcentral.
UACAGAGGGUGCGAGCGUUGUCCGGAAUCAUUGGGCGUAAAGAGCGUGUAGGCGGCUCGAUAAGUCUGCUGUGAAAGUCCAGGGCUCAACCCUGGAAGGCCGGUGGAAACUGUCGGGCUAGAGUUCGGAAGAGGCGAGUGGAAUUCCCGGUGUAGCGGUGAAAUGCGCAGAUAUCGGGAGGAACACCAAUGGCGAAGGCAGCUCGCUGGGACGGUACUGACGCUGAGGCGCGAAAGCGUGGGGAGCAAACAGG